RNAcentral lists this ribosomal RNA (3048 nucleotides) under Providencia sp. 1701011. Its description in RNAcentral is "23S ribosomal RNA". It matches the Rfam family "Bacterial large subunit ribosomal RNA". Lineage: Bacteria; Pseudomonadati; Pseudomonadota; Gammaproteobacteria; Enterobacterales; Morganellaceae. The record is from RNAcentral. RNAcentral also lists the same sequence under 1 other name.
GGGUUGUGAGGUUAAGCGACUAAGCGUACACGGUGGAUGCCUAGGCAAUCAGAGGCGAUGAAGGACGUGCUAAUCUGCGAUAAGCGUCGGUAAGGUGAUAUGAACCGUGAUAACCGACGAUUUCCGAAUGGGGAAACCCAGUGCAAUUCGUUGCACUAUCGUUUGAUGAAUACAUAGUCAAACGAAGCGAACCGGGGGAACUGAAACAUCUCAGUACCCCGAGGAAAAGAAAUCAACCGAGAUUCCCCUAGUAGCGGCGAGCGAACGGGGAGCAGCCCAGAGUCUUAAUCAACAUUAGCAUCAGGAGAACGGUCUGGAAAGGCCGGCAGUAAAGGGUGAUAGCCCCGUAUCCGAAGGUGUUAGUGUUGUGAACUCGACGAGUAGGGCGGGACACGUGUUAUCCUGUCUGAAUAUGGGGGGACCAUCCUCCAAGGCUAAAUACUCCUGAUUGACCGAUAGUGAACCAGUACCGUGAGGGAAAGGCGAAAAGAACCCCGGCGAGGGGAGUGAAAUAGAACCUGAAACCGUGUACGUACAAGCAGUGGGAGCCCCACCACCAAAGCAUUUUCUGGUGUUGAGGACAACUUUGAAGUGACAUUCAACACGCGUUGGCGGAGCGUUUUUUGCGACGCCCAACACACAAAACAAGCAGUGAAUGUGCUUUGGGGUGGGGUGACUGCGUACCUUUUGUAUAAUGGGUCAGCGACUUAUAUUCUGUAGCAAGGUUAACCGUAUAGGGGAGCCGUAGGGAAACCGAGUCUUAACUGGGCGAAUAAGUUGCAGGGUAUAGACCCGAAACCCGGUGAUCUAGCCAUGGGCAGGUUGAAGGUUGGGUAACACUAACUGGAGGACCGAACCGACUAAUGUUGAAAAAUUAGCGGAUGACUUGUGGCUGGGGGUGAAAGGCCAAUCAAACCGGGAGAUAGCUGGUUCUCCCCGAAAGCUAUUUAGGUAGCGCCUCGUGAACUCAUCUUCGGGGGUAGAGCACUGUUUCGACUAGGGGGUCAUCCCGACUUACCAACUCGAUGCAAACUACGAAUACCGAAGAAUGUUAUCACGGGAGACACACGGCGGGUGCUAACGUUCGUCGUGAAGAGGGAAACAACCCAGACCGCCAGCUAAGGUCCCAAAGUCAUAGUUAAGUGGGAAACGAAGUGGGAAGGCUCAGACAGCCAGGAUGUUGGCUUAGAAGCAGCCAUCAUUUAAAGAAAGCGUAAUAGCUCACUGGUCGAGUCGGCCUGCGCGGAAGAUGUAACGGGGCUAAACUAUGCACCGAAGCUGCGGCAGCGAUAUGUAAAUAUUGUUGGGUAGGGGAGCGUUCUGUAAGCCUGUGAAGGUGUACUGUGAGGUAUGCUGGAGGUAUCAGAAGUGCGAAUGCUGACAUAAGUAACGAUAAUGCGGGUGAAAAACCCGCACGCCGGAAGACCAAGGGUUCCUGUCCAACGUUAAUCGGGGCAGGGUGAGUCGACCCCUAAGGCGAGGCAGAAAUGCGUAGUCGAUGGGAAACGGGUUAAUAUUCCCGUACUGGUGAUAAUUGCGAUGGGGGGACGGAGAAGGCUAGGCUAUCCGGGCGACGGUUGUCCCGGUUUAAGGAUGUAGGCAGGUGAAUUAGGCAAAUCCGGUUCACUAUAUGCUGAGGUCCGACGACGAGUCACUACGGUGAUGAAGUAGCUCAUGCCCCGCUUCCAGGAAAAGCCUCUAAGCUCUAGAUUAUCAUUAAUCGUACCCCAAACCGACACAGGUGGUCAGGUAGAGAAUACUCAGGCGCUUGAGAGAACUCGGGUGAAGGAACUAGGCAAAAUGGUGCCGUAACUUCGGGAGAAGGCACGCUGGCGCUAGGUGAAGUCCCUCGCGGAUGGAGCUGAAGCCAGUCGCAGAUACCAGCUGGCUGCAACUGUUUAUUAAAAACACAGCACUGUGCAAACACGAAAGUGGACGUAUACGGUGUGACGCCUGCCCGGUGCUGGAAGGUUAAUUGAUGGGGUUAUCCGUAAGGAGAAGCUCUUGAUCGAAGCCCCAGUAAACGGCGGCCGUAACUAUAACGGUCCUAAGGUAGCGAAAUUCCUUGUCGGGUAAGUUCCGACCUGCACGAAUGGCGUAAUGAUGGCCAGGCUGUCUCCACCCGAGACUCAGUGAAAUUGAACUCGCUGUGAAGAUGCAGUGUACCCGCGGCAAGACGGAAAGACCCCGUGAACCUUUACUAUAGCUUGACACUGAACAUUGAGCCUUGAUGUGUAGGAUAGGUGGGAGGCUUUGAAGUGUGGACGCCAGUCUGCAUGGAGCCAACCUUGAAAUACCACCCUUUAAUGUUUGAUGUUCUAACGUAGCCCCGUUAUCCGGGGUGCGGACAGUGUCUGGUGGGUAGUUUGACUGGGGCGGUCUCCUCCCAAAGAGUAACGGAGGAGCACGAAGGUUGGCUAAGCAUGGUCGGACAUCAUGCGGUUAGUGCAAAGGCAUAAGCCAGCUUGACUGCGAGAGUGACGGCUCGAGCAGGUACGAAAGUAGGUCUUAGUGAUCCGGUGGUUCUGAAUGGAAGGGCCAUCGCUCAACGGAUAAAAGGUACUCCGGGGAUAACAGGCUGAUACCGCCCAAGAGUUCAUAUCGACGGCGGUGUUUGGCACCUCGAUGUCGGCUCAUCACAUCCUGGGGCUGAAGUAGGUCCCAAGGGUACGGCUGUUCGCCGUUUAAAGUGGUACGCGAGCUGGGUUUAGAACGUCGUGAGACAGUUCGGUCCCUAUCUGCCGUGGGCGUUGGAAGAUUGAAAGGGGCUGCUCCUAGUACGAGAGGACCGGAGUGGACGCACCACUGGUGUUCGGGUUGUCAUGCCAAUGGCAUUGCCCGGUAGCUAAGUGCGGAAGAGAUAACCGCUGAAAGCAUCUAAGCGGGAAACUUGCCUUGAGAUGAGUCUUCCCUGACCCUUAAAGGGUCCUAAAGGAACGUUUAAGACUAAGACGUUGAUAGGUUGGGUGUGUAAGCGUAGCGAUACGUUGAGCUAACCAAUACUAAUGAACCGUGAGGCUUAACCUGACAACACCGAAGGUGUUUUAG